CCUACGGGAGGCAGCAGUGAGGAAUAUUGGUCAAUGGACGAGAGUCUGAACCAGCCAAGUAGCGUGAAGGAUGACUGCCCUAUGGGUUGUAAACUUCUUUUAUAUGGGAAUAAAAUGUUCCACGUGUGGGAUUUUGUAUGUACCAUAUGAAUAAGGAUCGGCUAACUCCGUGCCAGCAGCCGCGGUAAUACGGAGGAUCCGAGCGUUAUCCGGAUUUAUUGGGUUUAAAGGGAGCGUAGGUGGAUUGUUAAGUCAGUUGUGAAAGUUUGCGGCUCAACCGUAAAAUUGCAGUUGAAACUGGCAGUCUUGAGUACAGUAGAGGUGGGCGGAAGUCGUGGUGUAGCGGUGAAAUGCUUAGAUAUCACGAAGAACGCCGAUUGCGAAGGCAGUUCACUGGACUGCAACUGACACUGAGGCUCGAAAGUGUGGGUAUCAAACAGGAUUAGAUACCCCAGUAGUC
This 460-nucleotide ribosomal RNA is filed under the name uncultured bacterium. RNAcentral describes it as "partial 16S ribosomal RNA". It matches the Rfam family "Bacterial small subunit ribosomal RNA", at positions 338 to 795 of the family's 1533-position model. The record is from RNAcentral.